Molecule: ribosomal RNA, 116 nt
Filed under: Mesocricetus auratus (golden hamster)
Lineage: Eukaryota; Metazoa; Chordata; Mammalia; Rodentia; Cricetidae
Source: RNAcentral
GUCAAUGGCCAUACCAUCAUGAAUUUACCUGAUCCUAUCUGAUCUUGGAAGUUAAUCAGAGUCCAGUCUAGUUAGUACCUAAGUGAGAAAAUACAUAUGGAAAGCUACUAUUUUUU